Molecule: ribosomal RNA, 450 nt
Filed under: uncultured fungus
Lineage: Eukaryota; Fungi
Description: eukaryotic LSU rRNA
Rfam family: 5.8S ribosomal RNA (bases 80-233)
Source: RNAcentral
UCGGCAGGCUUGCCUGCCGAUUGGACAAACCUAUAACCUUUUUAAUUUUCAAUCAGCGUCUGAAAAACUUAAUAAUUACAACUUUCAACAACGGAUCUCUUGGUUCUGGCAUCGAUGAAGAACGCAGCGAAAUGCGAUAAGUAGUGUGAAUUGCAGAAUUCAGUGAAUCAUCGAAUCUUUGAACGCACAUUGCGCCCCUUGGUAUUCCAUGGGGCAUGCCUGUUCGAGCGUCAUUUGUACCCUCAAGCUCUGCUUGGUGUUGGGUGUUUGUCCUCUCCCCUGCGUUUGGACUCGCCUCAAAGCAAUUGGCAGCCAGUGUUUUGGUAUUGAAGCGCAGCACAUUUUGCGAUUCUGGCCUAUAAUACUUGCGUCCAUAAGCCUAUUUUCAACUUUUGACCUCGGAUCAGGUAGGGAUACCCGCUGAACUUAAGCAUAUCAAUAAGCGGAGGA